RNAcentral lists this transfer RNA (72 nucleotides) under Ictidomys tridecemlineatus (thirteen-lined ground squirrel). RNAcentral's name for it is "Spermophilus tridecemlineatus (thirteen-lined ground squirrel) tRNA". It matches the Rfam family "tRNA". From Rfam's summary of the family: Transfer RNA (tRNA) molecules are approximately 80 nucleotides in length. Their secondary structure includes four short double-helical elements and three loops (D, anti-codon, and T loops). The record is from Rfam by way of RNAcentral. Lineage: Eukaryota; Metazoa; Chordata; Mammalia; Rodentia; Sciuridae.
GGGGGUAUAACUCAGUUGGUAAAGUGCUUGUCUCACAUGCAAAAGCCCUGGGUUCAAUCCCCAGCACCACCA